Long non-coding RNA from Labeo rohita (rohu), 9222 nucleotides. RefSeq lists it as uncharacterized. The record is from RefSeq and is a predicted model, not a curated record. The transcript is spliced from 4 exons. NCBI's taxonomy places the organism in Eukaryota, Metazoa, Chordata, Actinopteri, Cypriniformes, Cyprinidae.
CCUUGUGGUUGUAAGGUUUGGUUGCGCUCGCUGAGAACUUGACACAGUGUUGCAGUAAAUCAAACAGAGCUACAGUAACAGCGCUGAAAUUUGUCACACUGUUGCAAGUAUUUUUGGCCAGUGAUACAAGCGAGAGAUAUCACUGCCGUCUCCCGUUCGAGGAAGAGUUGAGUUAUUCAGCAAGGAAGUACGUCGGAUCGUUUUCAAGAACAGUUUCAGAGAGAUUCGACACAUUUGACUGGAAAUGUCUGAAAACAAACCAAAUGAUGAUCCGAAGUUAUCCACGACGGACAGAGUGGUUAAAUGUAAGUAGAAAUCCCAUGCCACUCAAAAUGGUAGGGCUCAGAGACUAUUUGAAGUGCGUUAACCUCGAGAUGUGAGUGUUAACGUGUCCAUGCAAUGAGCAGGCGUCAUAUGGUUUGGUAAUGCUCUAUAAUAUGAGAUCUGCCCAUGGAAAAAUGGGUGGUAGCCGGCUGUAUUGGUAAAAGUAGGAAGUAAAGGUAGUUGUUGUUAUGACAGAGUUGGUCGCAUUGUUUAUUUGUCCUUAGAAACGCAAUAUAAAGCCUCACUUUUGAAGUUAAACCAAACCGUUUUUGUAUGCGCUCCAGUUAUGGCUGGCGAGUUUUAAAUAACGUAUUUUGCAUUCUUUUGGAUUAAAAAAUGUAGAUAUUGCACAAUACUGACAGCAUGAAAAAAAACAGCGUAACACUGGGUUUACAGAUUUUGCGUGUCUGUUUUUAUUACAUGAUGAUUAUUUUUGACGUGAGGCAGCAUAUGACAGUUUGGAAACAAUCUGUCUCAAGGCACAGUGAAGCCCCACUCAGUUCAACAGACACACUUGCAGUCAUAUCCCAUUUGUUCAUCCUCAUCAUGGCAAUUGCAGUCAUUAUCAUUUGUUGUUUCAGUAGCUUGUCAUUGCGGUGGAUCUUAUUUUCCAACACAAAACACUCUGCUGUACUUUGAUGUACCAAAGCCAAUGAAGAGCAGUGUUGUUGUAUUAUAUACCCAGCACAUCGCUGUUUUGCACCAGCUAUUCAUAUUUUUCAUUCAAAAUAAUGUGCAGUGAACUUGUAAUGGCUUCUGCAUCCAUCAGGCAUAGCAGUGCAGCAGAUAAGCUGUAAGGGCCACUACAACUCCAAAGCUUUGACAACUCCCUUCCAUGCAACAACCUCCUACUCCAAACACACAUAUCCUCACUGAAGUAAUUUGGCAGCCAGACUGUGGUUUUAUAAGUGUGAGGAUCUGAUAUAAAUUGAUAGCUCUUAUAAAGGUGCCCAGGGUGCUCGGAUAACUAAUUUACCUUUUUCCCCCUUCCAUCAGCUCUUACCAUAGCCUCUGUGAAACAUCAGUUUCCUCUCACUAGUUGGAGGAUGGAAAUGUGAGGGCUGGGAAUGCUUUAGGAAGGAGUUGCGCUUAAAUGUUAAGAGAUUGUUGCACAAACAAGCUGAGCUCCAGAAGUCCUAAAUGCUCAGCUACUGUAUGGUGUUGAAGUGGCUUAGGGUCAGUGGGUUUUCGUUUAUGUCAGGACUGUGUUAUUAUCUGCAGCUCUUUAAGAAAUAUAUUCUCAAAAGACUGUAUGAAUCAUGUGUUUAUGCUGUGUUUUUGUAGUACAUGUUGUUCACACCUUAAAUGUAGAUGAUAUGAUACAUUGCAUAGCAUGCCAUUCUCAUUCAUGUAUUCAACAUAUCAUUUGAGUCUCAUACUUAGUUUUAGUGUUUCCUAAAUUUAAUAUGUUUUUUGGGAAAAAUACAGACUGGCAUUGUUAGCGCUGCAUUAUUCAGAUAAUGUUUAUUCAGUUUGAUUAGAUGAUUUGUGAGUUUGAGUGAAGAGUUUAGCACUAAUGUGCAGAUGAUUUCUUUUGUAUGUUCGGUUAGAGCAGUGCUCAUUCAGACGAAUCAAUUAUCUGUCAGUUGCUCUAAGCUGUGGAAAGAUAAAGCUUUUAGUGGGGUGUCCUUGGUUUUAAAUUACUCUCACCAAGCAAGGAGCUUUUACUAAUUUUGUGUACUGUUACUUUUUCAGUCUCCCCUUUAGGGCUGGGCGGUAUGGGCAAAAAAAAUUAUCACAAUAUUUUUUUUUUUUUCAUAUCAGUCGAUAUCGAUAAUUAUCACAACAAAUGUCAAAUCUUUAUUUCUUUCAAGUUUAAAGUCAGAUUUUUGCUCCAAAGUGAAAGUUGUAGAAACCAGACCAUUCAUUUUCCUUAACAAAAUAAAUAUGUAAAUAGAAAAAAAUAAUUUCUGCAUGUUCUAAUGAGUUAUAUUGUUUCAAAUCAAGAACCAGGUUUGGGUUGUCUGAUAAUUAUAACGAUGAUACUACUACUCCUACUACUACUGCUGCUACUAAUAAUUAUUAUUAUAAAUAUAAAUAAUAAUAAUAAUAUAAUAAUCUAAAUAAUCACUUUUCUGUCUCUUAGAAAUGCACAUUUGAUAGUAGUUUGAGGAUGCAGAGGUAAAUUUAUUCAUUAUCAAUCAGUAACAUCUGUAAAAAAUUGCAGCAACCUCAGUUUUAUAUGGUUAAAUUUAUUCUGACCCACUUCUUCUUUUUUUCAUUUUUUUAUUUCUUUUUUUUUAAGCAUUGGUCUCCCAUAGUAGCAUGCAUUUUAAAUCGUGAUAAACAGUUAAAAUCAAAAUAACAGUACCUCAAUACCAUGGUAAAAAUAUAACUACAUGGUUUUAUAGGUAGCCUAUUUGUAUGAAAAACGGUAGUCUAAAAACAUUCAGUAUAAAUAAGAUUAAUAUUAUAAUAUAUAUACUUAAUAUAUAAGCUUAAUCACAAAUACAUACAUACUAUAAUUGCACUGACCAAAAUUAUAAACACAACACUUUUGCUUUUGCCCCCAUUUUUUAUGAGCUGAACUAAGAUCUAAGAUCUAAGACUUUUUCUAUGUACACAAAAGGCCUGUUUCUCUCAAAUAUUGUUCACAAAUCUGUCUAAAUCUGUGUUAGUGAGCACUUCUCCUUUGCCGAGAUAAUCCAUCCACCUCACAGGUGUGGCAUAUCAAGAUGCUGAUUAGACAGGUGUGCCUUAGGCUGGCCACAAUAAAAGGCCACUCUAAAAUGUGCAGUUUUAUCACACAGCACAAUGCCACAGAUGUCGCAAGUUUUGAGGGAGCGUGCAGUUGGCAUGCUGACUGCAGGAAUGUCCACCAGAGCUGUUGCCCGUGAAUUGAAUGUUCAUUUUUGUUCACCAUAAGCUGUCUCCAAAGGUGUUUCAGAGAAUUUGACAGUACAUCCAACCGGCCUCACAACUGCUGACCAUGUGUAACCACACCAGCCCAGUACCUCCACAUCCAGCAUCUUCACCUCCAAGAUUGUCUGAGACCAGCCACCCGGACAGCUGCUGCAACAAUCAGUUUGCGUAACCAAAGAAUUUCUGCACUGUCAGAACUGUCAGAAACCACUCGUCUACCUCAUCAGGGUCUCGACCUGACUUUGCUGAUGUCAACGUUGUGGAUUGAGUGGCCCAUGGUAGCAGUGGGGUUAUGGUAUGGGCAGGCAUAUGUUAUUGACAACGAACACAGGUGCAUUUUAUUGAUACUGUGACGACAUCCCGAGGCACAUUGUUGUGCCGUUCAUCCACGACCAUCACCUCAUGUUGCAGCAUGAUAAUGCACAGCCCCAUGAUGCAAGGAUCUGUACACAGUUUCUGGAAGCUGAAAACAUCCUAGUUCUUGCAUGGCCAGCAUAUUCACAGGACAUGUCACCCAUUGAGCAUGUUUGGGAUGCUCUGGAUCAGCAUAUAAGACAGCGUGUUCCAGUUCCUGACAAUAUCCAGCAACUUCGCACAGCAAUUGGAGUGGACCAACAUUCCACAGGCCACCAUCAACAACUUGACCAACGCUAUGCGAAGGAGAUGUGUUGCACUGCGUGAGGCAAAUGUUGGUCACACCAGAUACUGACUGGUUUUCGGCUCUGUUUUUCCAGGGGCGUCCGCGCCGUAUCGAGAUAAUAAAUGCAUCUUCUUUAGUAAGCUUGCGCAGUUUGAACUUUGGUCUGAUUGGAUAAACGGUCCGUGUGGCACGAUUCAAAUGAGUAGCGCUGUUUCGUUCCGCUUUUGGCACAUAAAAAUUAUAUUGAACAUUUAUCGAACUCUUUAUAUCGUUUUAUCGAGGAAAAUUAUAUCGCAAUAAUUAUCGUUAUCGAAUUAUUGCCCAGCCCUACUCCCCUUCGAAGAAAAAAAACUCAGUGCUAAUGCUAGUCAAGUCUUUAUGUGUUCAGAAAGAGGCUCACUGGCAAAAAAAGAGGUUAAAGAGACGGACACUGGUAAAGGCACUUCUGUGGUCUUUAGGUGCUUGCUGUGGGAUAAAUCACAAUAUUUAAUCCUGUUGGUCCCUUACACAUUCUUUUUAUUCACCUCUUCAACCAAAAUCUUGUUGGUUCUUGUGCUGGAGCUUGUGUUUGGCCAUUAAUGAAAAACCAUAUGUUUUCAGUAACUUGUGAGCUAAAUAUUCUAUAACUGACUGUUGCCGCCAGCGCAACCGCCACCCUGGUGCCGUCAGGAAAACAGUGGCCAGCGGGCACAUGCAUUGACAGUAACCCUGUGGCAGUUUGGAUUGAAGGGUUACAGCAAUGAAAGGGUUAAAAGCAAAAUGCUUUUAAGUCAUUCUGAUACAAUGAGAUUAAGGUAAUAGGAUUAGAGUUUAAAAAAAUCCUUAUCUUAUAAGUUCAUCUUGUGUUCAUCCUUGUUUUGAAGUGUUAGGAUGCUGCAUUUUAAAGAUAUAAGAAAAUUAUGGUUAUGUUUUUUACUGCUACUUUAAUAAAUCGUUAAAACCAUUCAAGAUAUCCCAAAUCUGGUCAAUUUAACAUCUUCAGUAUGUUGGCAUCAUGUUGACAAAGUUUGGUGUAAAUUCAAUGUUUUUUUGUAGGAGUAUUCAUUAGGGAUGUCACAAUACUCAACAUAAUAUCGAACCAUUCGGUACGACAUCCACGGUUCAAUACGCGUUUGUGAAUUGUGGUUUUCCGCUUUUGUAUUUAAAUAAUUUCCUUGUUUUAUUUCUCUCGAAAUUUGCUCUGUGUGUGCCCGUGAUUUCACGUGCUGAGAUGAGGAAACGCCUCCCCGUUUAUAUUUGAAAAAGCAACACUUGCAGAGAAUCUUCUCUUCUAGUGAAAUGCAAUAAGCCUUUCUAAACUUGUUGUCCAACAAAACAGAACAUUCUAAAUUAUUUUUACUUCACAGCGUGAGUCGAGUGUUUUUGUAAUCUGAUGUGGCUUCUUAGACAAUGUAUUCUAUACUGUAUGUGGAUUAGCAAUGGCUUACAAAUAUACUUAAUUGUUAUGAAAAAACAAUAACAAACAAACAAAAACAGCUGUGGAUCAUUCAGGUAACAACACAGUAUUAAGAAUGAAGCGUAUGUAAACUUUUGAACAGGGUAAUUUUUAUAAAUUCAGCUAUUAUUUUCUUUUGUGAAAUAUAUGUAAACAUCUUCUAUGUGAAAUAUCUUAUUCAGGUCAGUACUAAAUAAAAACAUAACAUGCAUUUUGUAUGAGCCCAUUUUGGUAAAAUAAUUAACAUUUUGCAGAUUCUGCAAGGUAUGUAAACUUUUGACCUCAGCUCUGUAUUAUACACAUACAUACAUACAUACAUACUAGAGAUCGACCGAUAUAUCGAUUUACCGAUAUUUUCCCGAUAUUUAAGCAUUUUACCAUAAUCGGUUAUCGGUUUUGUAAUAUCGGGUUCACCGAUAAACGCCGCCAUCUUGUGGGUGUUUUGAGAAUUGGGCGCUUGCAGCGCGCCUGAGGGGAGACCCGACAACAACGGCGUGCAAAGGUAAAGCAGAUCCUUCUUCCUUGCUUUUCUGUUAUUUGUCAACUUUAUUUAAAGUAUAAAGCAAUGUUAGUUUCAGUGUUAAACUCGGAUAAAUGUGCGCUAUUAGACACGUACCCAAUGCUUUGUGCGGAGAGUGGAAGCUAAAGCUGCUUCCAGGACACUGAAGCGCCAGCGCGAUCACUAAUCACAUUUCUUUCAGUGGAAACAAUUGAAUUAUUCCGUCAUUUUUGUUCAUAAAGGUAGAGUAAUACAUCAUUCGGAACUGUAAAGGGUCUACUUUUAUUUGUGUGCACUCACAAUAUCAACAAAACGUUGCAAACGGUGCCUUUAUAAAACAAUCAUUAUGCGCUUUCACAACAAUAAACCGACACUCAGCGAAUACAAACCGCAAAGACAUGAUAAAUAUACAUAUAGAAAGCUCAAAAUUAUUACUUAACGAAAUAAAUCAAUUCAAAAACAAAAACUCUCAUUAUGUAAUCUGUAAUGAUGCUUUUCUCUCUAAAGGCGCGUCCAAAUAGAAGAUGGCGAGUCCAGAUCGGCAAAUUUAUCCUGAAAUCACUGACUCAGAAAACACCUGUUUAUUAAUAAAUAAUUUAAAAAAUCUCCUUACUAUUUUCCCCUCGACGCAUUCAUGAUAAUUACUUUUGCCUGUGCUUUGCAGCAAGCUUUAGCCUAUUGCGUGCACUUGAACGCGGAUCUCUUCCAGCUGCGUUGAAGGCGCGCUCGCUGAUGCUGCUGAUGGAGACACUAAAUGCCUUCCGAGCCGGUCUAAAAAAAAGCGAAAGUGAAGUCUCGUGUUGUUUCCACCAGCGGGGAAUUUUUCAUCACCAUAAAUUGUGGAUGUCAAAAAUAUAAAAAUAAGGAGACCCGAAAAACAGACCCGAAGCCCGGCCCGUGUCUGAGCUAUGACUUGAAAAUUGUCCUCGAAGCCCGGCCCUAUAGGGGCGUAAAAAAAGUCGGGCUGAAAUGCAAGGCUCUACGUUCACUCACGGGGUUGAUGCGCUGGCCACCGCAUGUAACUUUUAACAAGAUUCACUUGUUUAAAACACUCUCAACUAUAUCAACAUUUACUAUAGAACCAUUAUUUUUCUAAUACACUUCUAAAUAUAUACAAUGUGGAAAUUUAUUAUCUUUGCCAGCGAUCACAGUUUAAGUAUUCUAUGUAAAUGCAUAGAUAAACCGCGCUGUCAGCAGGCAUUUCAUAAUAGAACGACGGAAACAAUAUUAGUAAUUCUGAUAUAACGUACCAGUUGAGAAAUACUAUAAAAUACGAUUUUUUGUUUGUUAUAUUCCAAUAUUCCAGAGAAUAUUAUUCAGUGAAUUAACAUUAUCCAGUGAAUUCUUCACUCUUUAGCCUAUUAAACAGCCUGUAAACUGUAGUUUAAAACUAAGUUGAUCUGACUCCUGUCCUUUAUUUAUUUUCUCCAUUUGAAAACAUUCUACACUCUAAAAAGUGCUGGGUUAUUUCUUUAAACACAUUGCUGGGUUAAUUGUGCUGGGUCAAAAUUCUGGGUUGUUUGAGGUACUGUAAACACACAGUUGGGUUGAUCAUGCUGGGUCAAAUGGAAUCUCACCAUUGAACACGCGGGUUGGGUUAUUUUAACCCAGCCGGUUUGUUUAUUUUUCCACUUCAUCUAACUUUCUGGAUUCUUCACUCGUCUCCUCGUCAGGCGCUCACGAAAUUCGCAGCAAGCAGGAUUAUACGGUAAGUUAAUAUGAUUAUAUGAUUAUUUACCUUUAUUUUUUAAUAAGUUGUGGUUUAGAGCACUGUGAUUUCACUGUUUAAUGCAAUUUGAUAUGUCUCUGUGCGGGGUUAGCGUUUAUUCUGUGAAUGAUUAACGAACGUUAUAGCAGCCUAUAGUGAGGUACUUUAUUGCCUCAACAAUCGCUUUAUCGUUAAAUAAAAGUUGUGUGUGUGUGUGUGCAAAGUUUUAUUUAUAUACAGUACACAUCCUUUUUUUUAUCAGUACUGUCCAUUUUUAACGCUUCAUGAAGACAGACAUAAGUUAGAAAUACGGGGUAAGUUCAGUUACAGUCUGAAUACUGUAUGGCUUUGUAAUGUUUUAUGUAAAAUUGAUCUUUUAAGGGCAUAUUUUUUCAAAUCAAUGUUUCCGACGUGCCGAAUCCAACGAUAGAUCCGUAAUUUUUAUGUUGUGCAUUUUCGCGCUCUUUUUUUCCUCAAGUAACUUCAUUAGCUCCGCUAUUCACCUUACUUUAACUCUCGUGGUGUGUAAGCAGUGGUGUAGUGCCGGGUAUACACAGGUACACGGCUUAUACCCACUUCUUUAUCAGUUGGCUUUGCGUGUACCCACUUCUAAUCCCCUCUGCUGCGCAUCGAGUAGUGUCCUGCAUUAGCCAAAAUCAUGACAGUCCACAUGAAUAGCUAAUUUGAUCGCAUGUGCGUAUAUGCAAAUAUUCCUUAAAAACACCCGGUAACGACAGUGAUGUGGUCAGAACAGUUGCGCGGGCUUCUUUUAAAUAUACUUGAUGAUUGCCCCUAAAUGCGCCCGCGCCCGCUCCGUCCACUCCUCCACCCAGAUGCUGCCUGUUCACGCGCGAGGGCAUGUUAGAGAAAACCCGACCAAUUUAAUCAGAAACUGCGGAGAAUCACGUGUUCACCUGAUCUGUGUUUAAACGAUUGUUUUGCGUGUAAACGCAUUAACCUGCUUUCUAUUUAAAAUAAAUCAUUGUAAAAACAGUUUUGUGAAAUUCUAAUUUUCUAAAUCUGAAAUUUCAUUCUAAAUAUGUGAGAUUCUUGCUGGUGCAGAUGGACAGCUUUGUAAUAGAGAAGUUGAAGGAAAGGCAGCUUGAUACCCUGGUUAAAACCUUUGAAGAUUUCACAAGACUUCAGGAAGCUACAUCCAGAGGCAGACUUUUUGUAGACUGGGCUACAUUUGUAAGAUGGAAAGGUGUAUUAAGAGCUGGGUGACAUGACUUCAGACGUUAAAGGGGAGAGUGCUUUCAAAGUCCUGCCCAUUCUGGAGGAAGGGUCCACAGAACCACAACCACAGAAGUCUGGAAGUCAUUAAUUGACAUGCAAACCUGUGGGGACCAGCAUGGUGGAUUUGUGCCUUGGGGAUGAGACAACGACAUCCCAGACCUUCGCCAUUGUUACGGGCCGUGCCACUGAAGCUACUGACUUGUGUGAAUUUUAUUUAUUUAUUUUUUUAAAACCAACUGUUUUUUUCUGGCCAAUUGUAACAUGUUUUAAAUUGUCUUGUAAAUAUGUAUUGUCUGGUGGACACUUUGUUUGGCUUAGUUUUAAUCGCACAAUGUUUGGAAUGAUUCUCGUGUGGUAAUCAUUCAUUUUUGAGUGUUCUGCUGCUGCAAUGUUGACAAAGAAUCAGAAUCUACAGUGCCUAGUUUACACAGUUUUGUGUUUUAAAGUAACUGAUCUACUAAAAUUGUUGUUUUGUGCGUCUGUAAUGGUUGGAUAAAAUGUUUUACAGCUGCACCCAU